ACAGCCACAUCAUGUUGAAACACCAGUUUCCAUACAAUCACCAAAGUUAAGCAGUGUCAAACCUGGUCAGUACUUUGAUGGAUGACUGCUUUGGAAUACCAGGUGCUA
Molecule: non-coding RNA, 108 nt
Organism: Acanthosepion pharaonis
Lineage: Eukaryota; Metazoa; Mollusca; Cephalopoda; Sepiida; Sepiidae
Source: the annotation of a GenBank genome assembly